AUUGAACGCUGGCGGCAUGCCUUACACAUGCAAGUCGAACGGCAGCGCGGGAGCAAUCCUGGCGGCGAGUGGCGAACGGGUGAGUAAUACAUCGGAACGUGCCCAAUCGUGGGGGAUAACGCAGCGAAAGCUGUGCUAAUACCGCAUACGAUCUACGGAUGAAAGCAGGGGAUCGCAAGACCUUGCGCGAAUGGAGCGGCCGAUGGCAGAUUAGGUAGUUGGUGAGGUAAAGGCUCACCAAGCCUUCGAUCUGUAGCUGGUCUGAGAGGACGACCAGCCACACUGGGACUGAGACACGGCCCAGACUCCUACGGGAGGCAGCAGUGGGGAAUUUUGGACAAUGGGCGAAAGCCUGAUCCAGCCAUGCCGCGUGCAGGAUGAAGGCCUU
RNAcentral lists this ribosomal RNA (388 nucleotides) under uncultured bacterium. Its description in RNAcentral is "bacterial SSU rRNA". It matches the Rfam family "Bacterial small subunit ribosomal RNA", at positions 29 to 418 of the family's 1533-position model. The record is from RNAcentral.